UGGCUCUGGCAUCGAUGAAGAACGCAGCGAAAUGCGAUAAGUAAUGUGAAUUGCAGAAUUCAGUGAAUCAUCGAAUCUUUGAACGCACAUUGCGCCCCCUGGUAUUCCGGGGGGCACGCCUGUCCGAGCGCCGUUUUCACCCCUCAAGCAAUGCUUGUUGUUGGGGCCCCGCCCGCCACCCGGCAGGCGCGCCCUCGAAUGCAUCGGCGCGGCCGCAGGCCUCCCCAGACACCGCGUUGUCAGAGGGUUGCCAGCGGACCGCCGCCUUGAAAACGUACCGCAAAAUUUGGCCUCGGAUCAGGCGGGGAUACCCGCUGA
RNAcentral lists this unclassified non-coding RNA (318 nucleotides) under uncultured fungus. RNAcentral's name for it is "partial contains 5.8S ribosomal RNA and internal transcribed spacer 2". The stretch from base 1 to 133 matches the Rfam family "5.8S ribosomal RNA", at positions 22 to 154 of the family's 154-position model. The record is from RNAcentral. Lineage: Eukaryota; Fungi.